RNAcentral lists this transfer RNA (73 nucleotides) under Chloroflexota bacterium. RNAcentral describes it as "Chloroflexi bacterium tRNA-Ala". It matches the Rfam family "tRNA". From Rfam's summary of the family: Transfer RNA (tRNA) molecules are approximately 80 nucleotides in length. Their secondary structure includes four short double-helical elements and three loops (D, anti-codon, and T loops). Lineage: Bacteria; Bacillati; Chloroflexota. The record is from RNAcentral.
GGGGGCGUGGCGCAGCCGGGAGCGCGUCUGCAUGGCAUGCAGAAGGUCACGGGUUCGAGUCCCGUCGCCUCCA